CCUACGGGGGGCAGCAGUGGGGAAUAUUGGACAAUGGGGGGAACCCUGAUCCAGCCAUGCCGCGUGUGUGAAGAAGGCCCUCGGGUUUUAAAGCACUUUCAGUGAGGAAGAACGCCUGGUGGUUAAUACCCAUCAGGAAAGACAUCACUCACAGAAGAAGCACCGGCUAACUCCGUGCCAGCAGCCGCGGUAAUACGGAGGGUGCGAGCGUUAAUCGGAAUUACUGGGCGUAAAGCGCGCGUAGGUGGCUUGAUAAGCCGGUUGUGAAAGCCCCGGGCUCAACCUGGGAACGGCAUCCGGAACUGUCAAGCUAGAGUGCAGGAGAGGAAGGUAGAAUUCCCGGUGUAGCGGUGAAAUGCGUAGAGAUCGGGAGGAAUACCAGUGGCGAAGGCGGCCUUCUGGACUGACACUGACACUGAGGUGCGAAAGCGUGGGUAGCAAACAGGAUUAGAUACCCCAGUAGUC
This 465-nucleotide ribosomal RNA is filed under the name Vreelandella stevensii. Its description in RNAcentral is "partial 16S ribosomal RNA". It matches the Rfam family "Bacterial small subunit ribosomal RNA", at positions 338 to 795 of the family's 1533-position model. The record is from RNAcentral. Lineage: Bacteria; Pseudomonadati; Pseudomonadota; Gammaproteobacteria; Oceanospirillales; Halomonadaceae.